AGCCUAUUUCUUCUAUUAUGCUGAGUUAGUCCUAGUAGGAAAGUCGGUGAUAGUUGAGGCCGAACCCACUGGGAGCUUUGUUGUAGUUCUCACCCCACUAUUUCCACAGAGCCGGGACCGAGCGAGCCGGCGAGCGACCGAGGUAAAGGUAUCGCGCCUUAGUCAGAGGCCACCAAAGUUGGGUUACAUUUUGUUAGUAGCUACCCCCAUGUUCAUCUUUUUGUACUUGAUGAUUAGUAAUGUAAAGAAAGAAUGUAAGCUUAUUUUGAGGUAAAUGUGAUGUAAGAAAGAAAUGAUGAAAUGAUAUAAUGAACGUAAGAAUCGAUAAAUUACUAGAUGAAUGCAAUGCAUAUGAUCUAAAAUGAAUCAUAAUUACCUGUGAAUGUUUAGUUUCCUUUUUUCUUUCACUAAUGGCUAUUGCUUACCCUCGUGUAAGCCGUUUGUGUAUGUUUCCGCUGUGCUUUUCUCUAUUGAUGAAAAUGUACAUGUGAUGAGCCUUGGCGGAUAGGGGAAACUCUGUCCCGUUCGCGUCUGUUUGACGUGCUCGGGUCGGGCCAAAUUGGCAUCGGUCCCGGGGCAUGACAGAUAAGUUGGUAUCAGAGCCAAUAGUGAAAGAAUAGGAAUGGACCUAGAGACCCUUAGGAUUGGAAGGCCUUAAGGAUCUAGGAAACGUGAGUGACGUGGAAUCAAAGUUAGCGAAAGCAUGUGAUUGGGUUAAGUUGGGAUGUCUUUAAUGUGAUUAGAGGCUAAGUUUAAUUUUCGUUUAUCCUUUACUUCUAGUGUUGUGCCGGGCGGCCGACGACAUGACGCUUGAGGCAAGGAUGAAUGUGCAUGUUGCUUUCGCCUAAUUGGGUAUGGUCAAGUAAUGUUGGUCAAGUGACUAAUGCGAGUUGCUUCUUUUCAGGAAGCAAUGGCACCUCGACGUCGAUCGCAAAUAAGGUCGAUGCCGGAGGAAGCAAAUGCGAUGCCCGAGCAAUCCGGAGCGAGUGGCGACGGAGAGCUUAGGGAACAAAUGGCCGCGCUCGUCGGAGUAGUGCGGCAACAAGCGGAGUCUGUUCAGCGCCAAGGGGAACAGAUUUAGCGGCUCCAGGAGACCUUGGAGCGCCAGUAGGCGGCGGCGGCCCAGGCGGGCGUCGAGCAUGUCGCGCCCCCUGCGGUAGUGCCGAGCGUGGACGUGGGAGCGGCGGCAGCGGCGGCUGUUCCAGUUACGGUAGUACCGGCCGGGUCGGGAACCUCGAAUCCCGAUAGCGCGGCAGUCGAUGCGGAGCGAGAGCGCACUCUGGCGGCUCUCAUUCAGUUCAAGAAGUUCGACCCACCUACCUUCGAAGGCGGUUUGGUGGAGCCAGCGGUUGUGGAGUCGUGGAUCGACUCGAUGGAGACCCUCUUCGAGGAUUUGAAUACCUUGGAGAAGGAUAAAGUGUACCUCGCCACCCAUUGUCUAGGGAAGGCGGCGACGGUGUGGUGGAAGCGAGUUAAGCGGGAUCGACCUGCCGAUCUCCCGCUCAUGCUUUGGGAAGAGUUCAAGAGAUCAGUGUUCGCGAACUACUUCCCCGACACGGUGAAGCGGAGGUUACAAGAAAAGUUCCGCAAGUUGAGACAGGGCGAUCGUUCGGUGGGAGAGUAUGAGCAAGAAUUUUCCCACAUUAUUGACUGCGUUCCCGAUGUUGUUCGCGAUGAUCGGGACCGGGCGGAUUGGUUCUUGCGAGGACUCCAACCCCGGAUUUAUGAAAAAGUGCAGAUCUUGAAGCUGUCGACCUUUGCGGAGGUCUUCGAUAGAGCUUUGUGGGCGGAGCACGGUAGCGCCCAUGUGCGUGAAGAACGAGAAGCUAUUGCCGAGUCCAAGGACAAGGGCAAGAAGAGGACGGCGGGUGGUGCCGGGGGCCGGCCAAAUGCUAAGAAACCCCCUCGGUAUCCCCGACAGCAGUCGAGGAAUUGGAGACCAUAUCGAUGCGUUAUAUGUGGCGGAAAGCACAAGGUGUCGACUUGCCCGCAGCGAGACGGCAAAUGCUUCAAAUGUGGCCAACCGGGACAUCUUAUCCGGGAGUGCCCGUCGUGGACGUCGUCUGCGCCAACGGCAGCAUCAACACCGUCUACCCCGAGACAGCUUGCGGGUUACCACCGGCGAUGUCGGCUGGACGCGCGUCAGCACCGCGUCAGCCGGAGGGAUCGAGAGCGCCUAGCGGUCGAGUCUUUGCCGCUCAGGUGGAGGAGCAACAACCUGCAGCACCCGACGACGUCGUGGCAGGUAUAAUUGUGAUUAAAGGCACUAGAGCUAGAGCCGUGUUUGACACAGGCGCAUCUCAUUCAUUCAUUAGCACUUCAUUUGCUAAGACUCAUGGCAUAGAGAUGGUGUACAAUGAGGACUACUGGUGGGUGAAUGCCCCAGAACAUUCAUUCAGUGUCCACAACGAGUGUUUGGCGUGUCCAGUGCAAAUAGGCGAUUGGAUUAUGCCGGUUGAUCUGCUAGUGCUAGAUUAGAUGUGGGAAUUUGAUGUUAUCUUGGGGACCAACUGGCUCUCACAAAUACGAUGCAGUGAGAAUUGUGAAAGCAAGGUAUCACUUUUCGUCGAACCUAAUCAACGAAGAUUUAGUCUACCAAGCGUGGCAAAAGUAGGACCUUCAGGGGCACUAUAUCGCUUAAGGGGAAGAAAAAUCAAGAGGAGUGUAAGGCUAUUUGCACCAUGUGGAUUCUGAAAGAGUACCACUUGGGAGAUAUUGAUAUGUUGCGAGUACUCUAUAUUUCCGGGAUCACCCAUGGACUUUGCACCGAAUCGGUGAUGAGUUUGUCAUUGACUUAAUUCCGGCGGAACUACAGUUUCGACUCGCUCUGUACGAAUGCAGCCAGUGGAGUUAAAGAGAGCUAACGAAGGUCAAUUACAGACUCCUAUCAUAAAAGGCUCUGUGAGACCGACGUGUGUCACUGGGGACUCGGCUGAGCUAUUGAAAAAAAGUACGGUACAUGGCCUUCCGACUCUCGUAGAUUUGAGAAUUGAAACAAUAGUAACGAUAACAAGAACAAGUACCUCACUUGCAGGAGAUAUGAUGAUCCUAAUUCGAUCAGUUGCAAAGGUCCAAGGUGUAUUAAGAUCAUCUCCAAUCGGGAUAUCAAUCAAUAAAAAUCAGGCCAAGAGGAUUGCACCAACGCAUACGGCGACCCGUCCGCGUAUAUGGCAUAUGAUUCACUUAUAUUCCGAGUUUGGGCUUACUAAUGCGACCAGCAGGCAUUUAUAGACUUUAUGAAUCAGUCUUUAGGGCCAGUUGUUGGAUGCGAGGUGCGUCGUGUGUUUUAUAGACGACGUAUGGCUACCUUCGACCAAGCGACAGAGUAGCAUGAAAGAGCAUCUGAGAGCUGUGUUCCAAAUAUCAAGACAAAGAAGACUCUAUCAAAAUUGAAGAUAAUGUGACUUUUGGCUAAAGGAGGUCCAUCAGUUCUUUGGUUCUGGGUAUUCUGGCGGACGGAGUUUCGGUAGACCGAAGAAAGUGAAACGAUGAACAUGAUUGGCCUCGCCCAACCGAUUAUCGGAGAUCCGCAGUUUUAUCUUGGACUAGCGGGCUACUACCACUUCAUCGGUUUCGUGAGGUCGCAGCAAACAUAACCACUCCACUAAUCAGGCCACCAUAAGGAUAAAUACGUGUGAUGCCGAGCGAUUGCGAUCGAAGACUUCGGAUUAAAGAACAUUGACGUCGCCCCUGUGUUUGCCUGCCGACUCGGGAGAUCUUUUGUAGUGUACAUGAUCUUCUAGUUGUCUCGGUUUGCUGUAUUAAUGCAAAUGGCGUCUACUUGCAUAUGCCUCGCUGCCAUUAAAGAUUACGACGAAGAACUUAUACCCGAUUCACACUACUCUUGAGUUGCCGCCCAUCGGUUGAAAUUCGAUUCCGCGCCUAAAAAAUGUAACAUAUAUGGUAGCAAUUGGUAGGUAUAUAGCUCCGCGAUCACUAAGAUCUCAGGAGUGACUACAAAAGAUUUAAAUAUGGGCUACAUUACGACGUGGUAUAAGUUCGUAAACGUGACUAUGAUUCACUAUAUAUACCACCUGAUACCACCCAUCGAAAACCAAUGUCUGCCAAGGCCUAAGUAGAAGAAUUCGCGGCAGAACCUAGCGACGGCAAUGACCCCAGCCGCUAUUACAAAAGCGAAUGCAACAUUCAGGAGUGAAGUGGUACUCCCGGAGUGCCGCUACCCUGCCACAUUGGUUGCAACCGACCCUAUUUGAAAAUAUCAAGAUUACAAGCUUCGACCAUUAUCUCCAAAAGUCUCGGGUGAUUUGAACAUGGAUAUGCGAAGACAUCUUGUCGUUGAGUUUUGGCGCAAUUAACGAUUUCGAAAAGAAUAGUUUUGCCUAAAGAUGAUGAUUAAAGGCGAAUCAUGCACAGAACCGCAUCAACUCCCUAUAGUGAUACACUCCGUCACUAAAUAAUGUACACAGCGAUUGAAAAGCACUAUUGUGGCCGCGGAUGAAAAGAGAUAUUGGGGAGUUCGUUGCCAAUUUUAACCGUGCCACAGGCUUUAAAAGCAAGCGCCGAUUCUCGGCGGGAAAGCACAAAGUCUACCAAUACCUCAGUUGGAAAAUGACAAGAUAUGAGCAAUGUACUUUGAUACCGUUUGACCUUGAUCGUCAAUGCGACACGACCGAUAUGGUAAUAAGUGAUCGAAUUUGACAAAAGUCGCACAACUUGUCUGCCGUAUACCGACCUGACGGGUCGGGAGACAGCUAGUCGCAAGUUUUACUCGAACAGAAGUUGUGAGACUUCAUGGGUCCAUGUUGAUCGGUUCGGAUACGAAGACUACGCCCUAGGUUCACACCCAGUCUUUUUAACGAGUUUGCAAGACGGCGCUAGGCACUAGCGCUCGACUUCAGUACAGAGACGUUUCUAUCCUCAGCAGUGUAUUAGACCAUACAGACGCGAAACAAUAACAACAUCCUUGAGAUUUACACUUCGGCGUUUUGUGCUAGAUUACACAGGAGAGGCUAUGACUUCUUGCAUAUUUCGAGUUCCUACAAUAAAUACUACCAAGAAGUAUAACGCGAUGGCUCCUUUCUGAGGCACUAUAUAGUUCGACUAAGUGUCGUCCGUCUAUCCAUUUGAGCGACGGGGCCGAGAGAACGACUCUUUGGCCCUUGUGUGCGGAGGCGAAAGACGAAAGUCCGCUUGCCGUCAACGUGCGAUGCGCAAUCUCCUUGCAAAACGAUUAUGCCGACAAGAGCCAAAAAGAUUUAAGUUCGCGUUGGGUACGUGUAUUCUUAAUAUGUCUCGAUAUCGGAGGAGUUAAACGAUUCCGGGGUCCGUGGAGUCGAAGCCUCCGUUAAUGUUGCGACCGUUUGAAGAUAAUUGGAGGUGUUGGGUGCGGAUGCGUAUAACUUCGCACACACCUGAGACUGCAAGGAAGAGUCAGCAAUGUUUUCAUGUCGAAUCUUCGAGAAGUAUACAUGCCAAACUGCAACACAUGAUUGAAUAACGAGCCGUGAUACUGAAGACAUUCCCUAUGAGAGCAGCCCGGUUUCCUCGAUCGAUCCGAAUAAAAAUUAAGAAUCGCAUCCAAAUCUUAUGUAAAAGUCAAUGGACAACCACCGCGCGCGAGAACCCUGGUGACUCGAGGAGUCAAUGUCAAAGAGUACCCGCAUUGUUAAAUGACGAUAAGGUUGCGUAAUUUCGACGACGAUAAUAUUUAAGGGGUUGGAAAAUAGUAAUCAUAUCCCGCGAAAAUUCGGUAAAAUAAAAAUGUGAACUUUAGUCAAUGACAACAGUGCGAAGACGGGAACACUGGUUCGAAAAAAUCCGAAGGUGUUAAAAUGAUCUAAAGUGAGUUGUGGAAGGUUUUCGAGAGCUAAAGGAUCAAAUUCUGCGAAACUGCAGAUUUUCAGCUCUCGGGGACCGGUCCCUGGUGGGAGAGACCGGUCCCCGAACGCGUAUGAAAUGAGACAGCCGAAAAAUCGGCUAAGUCCUGAGAAAGUAGCUCUCGGGAACCGGUCCCUACCCGAGCGACCGGUCCCCCGGAGACCGGUCCCAUCAGAGAGAGACCGGUCGCAUCACGCGCAGCGGCUCUGGCUGCGCAGGGUGGACGUUCGGGAACCGGUCCCUGCUCGGGGAGACCGGUCCCUGCCUGCGCGAACUGCCCAGUUCGGGCAGUGUAUUAAAGUGAAAGUUGAGGGGUUUUAUUGCAUUUUUGCAACCCAUUGAGCUAUGUUAGAGGGUUAAUGAGAUUUUCUCUCAUUCCCACCCUCUCAAACACUCUCUUCUCUCCCUCUCUCUCUCUAGAAGGCAAAGGAGAAGAAGAAGAAAGAAAGAAAGGAAGGAAAAGAAGGAGAGGAAAGUGAAGAAGAAGAUCAAAGAGCAAAGGAGCUUCAUCUUCUUCCUCUCUAGUGCGAGAAAAGGAAGUUUACAAGGUAAGCUUUGAACCCUAAUGUAGUAAAAUCCUAAAAUGGGUUUGAAUGACCUAGAAAUGAGUUUUAGUGAGAUGUUUAAAGAGUUUUGAAGCUUUCUUUUGCUUCUAAAGAGAUCAAAACCUAGAUUUGUUAUAGAGGUGAGCUUGGACCACCUCUCAUGGUGAAAUCCAAACUAGGAUUUUGGAAAGCCUAAGAAUGGUUCUAAUGGAUUAUAUAGAGUAUAAUGGAGCUACUUUUGCUUCCCAAUGAGAUCAAACCCUAGGUUUUGUAUAUGCAUUGGAGCUAGGGCACCCAAAUUGGGGCUUUUGCUCAUAGGGGUUUCUAAGUGCAAUUAACCCUCUAGAAACCUAAUUGGGGGUAUUUUCGACGCGUUGGUGCGCUCGGAAUAGCAUUUCGAAAAGUGUAUGUAAAGUUAUGGCCAAAUAAGCCUAAUUUGGCUUCGUUAUGCCGCAGGUAAAGAAAAAAACGUCUGAAAAUCCCGAGAAAAUCGUCGGAGCACCUAAAGAGACCUACAAGGUGGGUGGUGCUUCUCAAACGUAUUGAACUUCCCUCUAUGCCUAAUGUGUCAUUCUUUGAGCAUAUGUUCUAUAUAUUGUUGCAUGCAUUUUAGGGUAAAGUAAUGAUGAAAUGUGAUGAUUGCAUGAUUGUGAGUACAACUUGCAUAAUGAGAUGGUUGAGAACCUGAUAAUGUAAAAACCCUAUGUGUAUGCAUGAGAGAAAAGUGAGCACCCAAAGUGAGCAAAAGAACCGAGUGGCACAAUGACAUAGAUCGAGUGGCAUUCGAUAAAGCUAAUGUGAAAUGACACUAGAGUUAGUGUGAUGUAAAGAACUAAAGUGAUGUAAAGAAUGAAGAAAGUGACAACGUGUAAGGUCAAAGUAAAAUGGGGCAAUAAGAACAAGAAUUGUAACGAACAAGAAUGCUAGAGUUAGCAAGAGAAAUGAAAAUGUAAAGAAUGUGAUUGCAUGAGUUUGCAACAUAAAGUGAUGUAAAGAACACUAGAGCUAGUGUAAAGUCAAGAUUGAACUUAUAAAUCUUUUGAGUUAAGGAUAUGAUCAUACUUGCUAUGAGUUCUGUGCUCGAGGGCGGUCGCUUCCCCUCGGGCGAUGCGCUCCGGAGUUAUACAUCCGGGUUGGAGUAAACCCGUAAGGACGGUCCUAGCUGGUGAGUUCCUGCGAUGAUGGACUUAAUGUGAAGCAAGUUAAUGUGGCGAAACCCCCGGGUUAGCCUUAAUGAUUAAAGAGCAAAGAGUAAAGAACAAAGAGCCAAGAACAAAGUGUAAAGUGCAAAGAACUAAAGAACAUGCAUAACCUGCAUUUAUGUAAUGUUGAGCAUAAUUCUUGCUAUUUGUUCAGGCAUAUUAGCAUUAUGUAUAGUUUGGUUACUAUUUACAGCCUAUUUCUUCUAUUAUGCCUGAGUUAGUCCUAGUGGGAAAGUCGGUGAUGUUGAGGCCGAACCCACUGGGAACUUUGUUGUAGUUCUCACCCCACUAUUUCCACAGAGCCGGGACCGAGCGAGCCGGCGAGCGACCGAGGUAAAGGUAUCGCGCCUUAGUCAGAGGCCACCAAUGUUGGGUUACAUUUUGUUAGUAGCUACCCCAUGUUCAUCUUUUGUACUUGAUGAUUAGUAAUGUAAAGAAAAGAAUGUAAAGCUUAUUUUGAGGGAAAUGUGAUGUAAGAAAGAAAUGAUGAAAUGAUGUAAUGAACGUAAGAAUUCGAUAAAUUACUAGAUGAAUGCAAUGCAUAUGAUCUAAAAUGAAUCAUAUUACCUGUGAAUGUUUAGUUUCCUUUUUCUUUCACUAAUGGCUAUUGCUUACCCUCGUGUAAGCCGUUUGUGUAUGUUUCCGCUGGUGCUUUUCUCUAUUGAUGAAAAUGUACAUGUGAUGAGCCUUGGGCGGAUAGGGGAAACUCUGUCCGUUCGGCGUCUGUUUGACGUGCUCGGGUCGGGCCAAAUUGGCAUCGGUCCCGGGGCGUGACACCGCUAGUGCAUUUCUUGUUUGAAUUUGUACAUGUGAUGAGCCUUGGGCGGAUAGGGGAAACUCUGUCCGUUCGGCGUCUGUUUUACGUGCUCGGGUCGGGCCAAAUUGGCAUCGGUCCCGGGGCGUGACAGAGGUCCUCCCUGGACAGUGGCGAUUGAUGUGCCCCGCCUGACCAUAUGUGAAGCAUCUCCCCUCCUUCUGCUUGCAACGGUUCGGGUCAUGGUUACCGCCGCAACUGACGCACUGCUGAGUCCCACGACUCUAGGAUAGCGCUCACGGGUACUUCGGAGGCUUAUUCGACCUCGACUGACCUCCCGAAUCAUCUGGGGCUCGCUUUUUACCCCCGUCCCUCUCGAACGCCUCUUGCUUCUCAUGGAUGUGGGCAUUGCCAUGCCCCCCCCAAAACGCUCGAUCGAGCACCUCCGCGAAUGUAGUAAGCUUUAGGAUGUGAACCGCCCUAUAGAUGUUCGACCAGAGCACUUGCUCGAACCAAUCGGCUCGAUCCCUGUCGUUUCGCACCACGUCGGGGACGCAGUCAAUAAUGUGUGAGAACUCCUGCUCGUAUUCUCCAACCGAGCGGUUUCCUUGCUUUAACUUUCGGAACUUAUCUUGGAGCUUCUUCUUCUCACUAUCGGGAAAAUAGUUGGUACACAUCAAGCUCCGAAAUUCCUCCCACAUCAACGGCGGAAGAUCGAAAGACCGAUCCCGCUUGAUCCACUUCCACCACACCUUCGCCACCCGCUCUAAGCAAUGUGUGGCGAGGUGGACUUUAUCCUUCUCUAGUGUAUAGAGAUCUUCGAAAAGAGUCUCCAUCGAGUCCACCCACGACUCGACCAUCCAAGGCUCAACCUUCUCCCCAUUGAACAUCGGGGGACUAAACCUUCGAAACAUCAUAAGAGUCGCAAGCCCGUGCGCUCUCUCUCCGCUUCCAACGCAACACCUUCGGGAUCAGAGGUUCCCGAACUAGUAGCUACCAUUGCUGGCGCGGUUGCGCCAUAACCAGCACGGCCGCCAUAGCCACGCCCUCCGUCACGACAGGCGCAACAACAAGAGGCGCAAGUCGCUCAACAUCCGCUUGAGCCGACGACUGUUGCACCACCAACUCUCGCAGCCUCGCAAUCUGGUCCUCCUGGCGCUGCAUCGCGCCGACCAUCGAAGCAAUCUGCGCUGGCAAUUCCCGCACUUCUUUAGAUCCCGACUGCUCGGGCACCUCGGGAGGUGGUGCCGAAGCGAAUCUAGUCACGGGGCGUCUCUUUGGUGCCAUAAGCUCCUAAAACGUAACAACUUGGUUAAUCUUCUUAACCCAUUAACUCUCACAAUUACGAGACAACGCGACUCAACAUUGCAAAUUAGGCGGAAGCACACAAGUGUACUUGUUCUAAACUCUUAGCGUCAUGUUGUCGACCGCCAAACACAAUCACUUCAAGUCAAGAAUGCAUACCACUUAAAUCCGUCUCUAUCACCACUAGAGACAUAUUAUCAACAACUUCGACCCAAUCGAAUCAACUCCCGCCACAACGCAUAGGUUCACGUCACUCACGCACCUAUGUCCUUAAGGUUUACCGUCCUAGGGUCUCCUAGGUCAAUCCUAGACUCUCUCUUUACUUGCUCUGAUACCAUUUUAUCUGUCACGUCCCGCGACCCACCAAUUUGGUCGGAUCCGGGCACGUUGAACAAACGCCGGACGGAUAGCACCUCCCCUGUCCGCCCAAGGCUAAACAACAAUAAUAUCAUGUACAAGAGUUGCCCAGGAAAAACUCAUUCAACAUACAUGAUACAUGCAAGUGUAAGAAGCACCACAAGUGCGAUACAAUUAAGAGCAAGAAUCACAAGUAACAUACAAGUGAAUAAAGAGAGACAGUUCUAGCUAUUACAUCACAUUCAACAUUUACAUACUGAUUUACAUUUUGACUGCAUUCUUUUCAUCUACCAAAAUGAAUACAUAUUCUUCUCAUAAUACCAAAUGGCUCUCCAACUAGCACCAUCACCAAUAUACAACACAUAUCACUCAUGUACACGAGGUUACUCUAAUGUAAAAUGGAAGCCGCUAGCUAAUUAGGGCGCUAUGCCCUUAUCGCGAUCAACUGCCUGUACGCUCUCGCUAGGCUAUGCAACAAAGUGGGGUGAGAACUAUAUAAAUAUAGUUUCCAGUGGGUUCGGCCGCCGACUCCGCCGAUCUUCUCACUAGGUCUAAGCAGGUAUAAGCAGAUAGAUAGAUAGAUAGAUAUGAAAUUGAAGUGCAACAUAGUAAAGUAAUCUGCAACAUUCUACUAUGCCUUCAAUAAUCCAAUGCAUGAGCUACUACAUAGUAUGCAAUCUACAACAUGCUACUAUGCCUCAAUAAUCCAAUGCAUGAGCUACUACAUAGUAUGCAAUCUACACAUACUACUAUGCCUCAACAAUAAAAGAAAUGAGCUACUACAUAGUAAUGUAUUCUACAACAUGCUACUAUGCCUCAAUAAUCCAAAAGUAAUGAGCUACUACAUAGUAUACAAUCUACCACAUGAUACUAUGCCUCGAUAAUAAAAUCUCAUGGCUAACCCGAAGGUUACUGCCCAAGACCAACCCGAAGGUUGCUACCCCGACUCACAUCUCAAAUCUUGCUAGUGGAGAGACUCUGAGCUACUCCCACCCGAAACCCGUCUGCGGGACAACUACGUUUGCCCGAACGCGACUACUACUCCGGAGCUCACUACUUGUGUGGAGCGGCCACGCCAAGAUUACACAGAUUAUGUUAGUAUAAUCCAAUCCCCUCACUGGGGAAUACCUUGUCCAAUAGGGUCAUAGUGCCUCUACUGCACAAACUCAAUGUCCACAACACGACAAUCGGAAAUCUACUAUCCCUAGGUUCAAAUGCCAUAGUGUUCUGCUACACUAGAUUCAAAUGCCACUCAUUAUGUCAUAAUGUUGUAAGUGUCUCACUACACUAAGGGCGUGUUUGGUUCACUUCGUUUUCACCCUAGAAUCGGAAUCGAAAUGGGUGAAUCUGUUUGUAGGUGUUUGGUACGGGGGAGUCCUAUUCCGAUUUCGAUUUCUAAGUGGAAUGGAAAUCCCCUAAUCACCUCAUUUUUCAAUCCGGCUCGGACGGAAUGGAUAUUUAUUCGAAUUAAAUUUAUUUUUUCAACUUUUUUAAUUAAAAUAUGAGUUAAAAUUUAAAAAUU
RNAcentral lists this long non-coding RNA (11523 nucleotides) under Ananas comosus (pineapple). RNAcentral's name for it is "long non-coding RNA (ACOM_LNC007277)". The record is from RNAcentral. Lineage: Eukaryota; Viridiplantae; Streptophyta; Magnoliopsida; Poales; Bromeliaceae.